Molecule: ribosomal RNA, 465 nt
Filed under: uncultured Klebsiella sp.
Lineage: Bacteria; Pseudomonadati; Pseudomonadota; Gammaproteobacteria; Enterobacterales; Enterobacteriaceae
Description: bacterial SSU rRNA
Rfam family: Bacterial small subunit ribosomal RNA
Source: RNAcentral
CCUACGGGGGGCUGCAGUGGGGAAUAUUGCACAAUGGGCGCAAGCCUGAUGCAGCCAUGCCGCGUGUGUGAAGAAGGCCUCCGGGUUGUAAAGCACUUUCAGCGGGGAGGAAGGCGGUGAGGUUAAUAACCUCAUCGAUUGACGUUACCCGCAGAAGAAGCACCGGCUAACUCCGUGCCAGCAGCCGCGGUAAUACGGAGGGUGCAAGCGUUAAUCGGAAUUACUGGGCGUAAAGCGCACGCAGGCGGUCUGUCAAGUCGGAUGUGAAAUCCCCGGGCUCAACCUGGGAACUGCAUUCGAAACUGGCAGGCUAGAGUCUUGUAGAGGGGGGUAGAAUUCCAGGUGUAGCGGUGAAAUGCGUAGAGAUCUGGAGGAAUACCGGUGGUGAAGGCGGCCCCCUGGACAAAGACUGACGCUCAGGUGCGAAAGCGUGGGGAGCAAACAGGAUUAGAUACCCUAGUAGUC